Molecule: long non-coding RNA, 2436 nt
Filed under: Equus caballus (horse)
Lineage: Eukaryota; Metazoa; Chordata; Mammalia; Perissodactyla; Equidae
Description: lncRNA (ENSECAG00000056606.1)
Source: RNAcentral
GUGCAACACGAUGAUUUUAUAUACAUACAUAUUGUGAAAUCAUUACCCAAAUAGGAUUAGUUAACACAUCCAUCACCUCAGUUACCUUUUUUUGUCAUGAGAACUUUUAAGAUCUACUCUUCUAGCAACUUUCAAGUAUAGGGCUAUACUGGAUAAGAAGCUGGCUGCCUCUGUGAACAUCUUACCCAAAGCAUCCUCACUGUACUUUUGGAAUGGAGAAAUAGAAGAAGCCACUCAGAUCCUGUUGUUGAUAAAGACAAAGACUUCCAAGGUACACAUGCUGUCCAGCUACAUCAGGUUGGUGCAUCCUUUUGAAAUCCCAGAGAUCUUCAGUCUUCUCAUGGACCAAGGAGAUGUGCAGUAUUUGAAGUGGCUGGAGGAGGGCAUGGAGGAGGACUGAGUGGGGGAGGCUUUUUGUGCGUCCUGCUGGCUGCCUCUAGCCUUCAUCAGCUGCACUCUGGGAAAGGGGAGGCCUCUUUCUGCCUCCUGGCAUCUCUGGAUUCCAUGUUUUUGUCAGCACAGAGGAGCUAAGUAACUUGUGAAGGCUGAAGGUCCGAGGCUCCUAAGGCUGGAAGAGGAGGCUGGGCCAGUUGGGCCAGGCAAGAACCCAGUGGAACUUUUCUCUGAGUGCUUCAUGCUUAAAGGUGGCCAGGGGGUGGGAGGGUGAUGAUGGCUGUGUGUAGGGAUCCAGGGGAGGUGGCAGUGAGGGUGAGGUUUGUCACCUUCUCCUGCAGUCACUGUGCCUACCUCGAGUGCCCAAGAUGUAAUUCCUCUCCUUCUCAGGAGGAGGAAUGGACCUCAUGACCUCUUCAGCCAGAACUGUGUGGGAUGAAUGCACCUUUUGGGAAACUGGCAAGCACUUCAUCCAAAAGGAUGAAUUCCUAAUGGUGGAAUUUCAGGGACAAGCAGGAUUAUUUCUCCAGGCGAAAGAUGGUGUUUGUUGUUCCAGAGUCUUGAGGAGGUGGGACUGGGAAUGGGCCUCAAGAGUUUGUAGGACAAGGGAAACAUUAGGGCUUAGACACAGCCUCAUGGGUUGGGAGUAGGUCUUGACUCUUCCUGGCCUGAAUGUGACAGACAGCAGAAGCUUCUGGGGCCUUUCUCAGUGGAGACACAGGUUCUGAGCCCGCCAUACUAUUUCACUUGAGCAUUGAAGCUGAACAUCCUAAAGUAGGAAAGAACCCUGGGGAAUUGCUGGACCAGUGUUUUUCAGACUUACUCCACAGAGCCCCAGGGGUUGACAGAAGGUACUCUGGGGGCUGCCUCGGUGUGCGGGUAAGGAUAUGAGGCCCCCCCACCCAUAAUUCAACCAGUACAACUGUGCUUUUAUUUAUGUAUUGAGCUCCCUUGUAAGCUUUGGGGUUUUUUUUAAAAGUUUUCUCUGUUAAAAGUUUGUGAACCAGUGGUCUAAGCCAAUCUCCAUUUUAUAGAUUCCUAAAGGAAACUGAACUGCACUGAGGUCCAGAAAGGGGGUGACGUGUUGCAUUAUGAAGGGUACAGCCAGGCCUGCUCGCCCUGUGUCUGGUGCUCUCCUAUACCUGCUCCACGGGUCUUAGGGGGAAGAGAGCAGAGAAGGCAGAGCCCUGUGGGGUGAGAAGAGAGACUUGACCAAAGGCCUCUCUGUGCCUCUAUCACAAGGUAACCCUCCUUGGGGGAGACCAUGGGCAGUUUGGGUAGGGGUCCACAGAUAUCUGUGGUAUCCUGGGCCUUUCUUCCCCGAGGGAAGGGUGUGUGGGAGGGGUUUUGCCUGGCUCUAGUUCUGACACCUCCUGUGCUUCUUGGACCUUAGUUCCUCCGAAUAUAAAAUGGGGGGGGGGGGGAUCUCCAGGGGCUCUUCUGUGAAGACCUUGUAGGGACUUUAGGCUGAGGCCCUUCCAAAGGUUCAGAGGAUCCUAUGUUGAGAGCCAGUGGGGAUUUUGGAGGACUGCCUCAGGAGAAGAAUAAAGAGAAUGAUAAUGGUGGUGUCCCUUUUUACAACAGAUGUUUGUGAUACAUAUGAAAAUCUUGUGUAAGUGUGAAAAUCUUGUGAAAACGUUCUGGGGACCCCAAAUGGACUGCCCGUUAUUGCUUUCAGGAUAAAGUCCAAUUUCUUGCUUUGGCUUUCUUUUUUCUUUUUUUGGUUUAUAACAUUGUGUGAUUUCAGGUGUACAUUAUCAUAUAUCAGUUUCUGUAUAGACUACAUCGUGCUCACCACCAAUAGUCUAUAGUUUUUAUCUGUCUUCGGUCUGGCUUUGAAGGCCCUUCAUAACCUUGUCUCCAACUCUGGCAAGUGGAUGGCUCCAAUAUGCUGUGUGAUAUUACCCCUGAUUUCAGGCCAUCCCUUCUGCCUGGAGUGCCCUUAUGCAUGAAUGCUCGUGAAACCUGGCUGCUCCUUUGCAAGGCCUGGCUCCCCUGGUUGGAAGGAAUCUCUCCUGCUGUGGUGUCCCUGUUAUCCUCGUG